CCUAUAACGUUGCCUCGGCGGGAACAGACGGCCCCGUAACACGGGCCGCCCCCGCCAGAGGACCCCCUAACUCUGUUUCUAUAAUGUUUCUUCUGAGUAAACAAGCAAAUAAAUUAAAACUUUCAACAACGGAUCUCUUGGCUCUGGCAUCGAUGAAGAACGCAGCGAAAUGCGAUAAGUAAUGUGAAUUGCAGAAUUCAUUGAAUCAUCGAAUCUUUGAACGCACAUUGCGCCCGCCAGUAUUCUGGCGGGCAUGCCUGUUCGAGCGUCAUUACAACCCUCAGGCCCCCGGGCCUGGCGUUGGGGAUCGGCGGAAGCCCCCUGCGGGCACAACGCCGUCCCCCAAAUACAGUGGCGGUCCCGCCGCAGCUUCCAUUGCGUAGUAGCUAACACCUCGCAACUGGAGAGCGGCGCGGCCACGCCGUAAAACACCCAACUUCUGAAUGUUGACCUCGAAUCAGGUAGGAAUACCCGCUGAACUUAAGCAUAUCAAUAAGCGGAGG
RNAcentral lists this ribosomal RNA (503 nucleotides) under Chaetomium globosum. Its description in RNAcentral is "eukaryotic LSU rRNA". The stretch from base 118 to 271 matches the Rfam family "5.8S ribosomal RNA". The record is from RNAcentral. Lineage: Eukaryota; Fungi; Ascomycota; Sordariomycetes; Sordariales; Chaetomiaceae.